This 433-nucleotide ribosomal RNA is filed under the name uncultured bacterium. RNAcentral describes it as "partial 16S ribosomal RNA". It matches the Rfam family "Bacterial small subunit ribosomal RNA", at positions 29 to 507 of the family's 1533-position model. The record is from RNAcentral.
AACGAACGCUGGCGGCAUGCCUAACACAUGCAAGUCGAACGAGACCUUCGGGUCUAGUGGCGCACGGGUGCGUAACGCGUGGGAACCUGCCCUUAGGUUCGGAAUAACUCCCCGAAAGGGGUGCUAAUACCGGAUAAUGUCUUCGGACCAAAGAUUUAUCGCCUUUGGAUGGGCCCGCGUUGGAUUAGCUAGUUGGUAGGGUAAAAGCCUACCAAGGCGACGAUCCAUAGCUGGUCUGAGAGGAUGAUCAGCCACACUGGGACUGAGACACGGCCCAGACUCCUACGGGAGGCAGCAGUGGGGAAUAUUGGACAAUGGGCGAAAGCCUGAUCCAGCAAUGCCGCGUAAGUGAUGAAGGCCUUAGGGUUGUAAAGCUCUUUUACCCGGGAUGAUAAUGAUAGUACCGGGAGAAUAAGCUCCGGCUAACUCCGUG